CCUAAGUGGGCGGGGGAUAAUCUCGGGGAACUGAGAAUAAUGCCCGAUAGAACAUUAUGCCUGGAAUGGUUUAUGUUUCAAAUGAUUUAUCGCCAUAGGAUGGGACUGCGGCCUAUCAGUUUGUUGGUGAGGUAAUGGCCCACCAAGACUAUUACAGGUACGGGCUCUGAGAGGAGUGGCCCGGAGAUGGGUACUGAGACACGGACCCAGGCCCUAUGGGGCGCAGCAGGCGAGAAAACUUUGCAAUGUGCGAAAGCACGACAAGGUUAAUCCGAGUGGUUUCUGCUAAAGAAACCUUUUGCCAGUCCUAGAAACACUGGUGAAUAAGGGGUGGGCAAGUUCUGGUGUCAGCCGCCGCGGUAAAACCAGCACCUCAAGUGGUCAGGAUGAUUAUUGGGCCUAAAGCAUCCGUAGCUCGUUUUGUAAGUUUUCGGUUAAAUCCAUGCGCUUAACGUAUGGGCUGCCGGGAAUACUGCAUAACUAGGAAGUGGGAGAGGUAGACGGUACUCGGUAGGAAGGGGUAAAAUCCUUUGAUCUAUUGAUGACCACCUGUGGCGAAGGCGGUCUACCAGAACACGUUCGACGGUGAGGGAUGAAAGCUGGGGGAGCAAACCGGAUUAGAUACCCGGGUAGUCCCAGCUGUAAACUAUGCAAACUCAGUGAUGCAUUGGCUUGUGGCCAAUGCAGUGCUGCAGGGAAGCCGUUAAGUUUGCCGCCUGGGAAGUACGUACGCAAGUAUGAAACUUAAAGGAAUUGGCGGGGGAGCAC
This 768-nucleotide ribosomal RNA is filed under the name uncultured archaeon. RNAcentral's name for it is "bacterial SSU rRNA". It matches the Rfam family "Archaeal small subunit ribosomal RNA", at positions 113 to 879 of the family's 1478-position model. The record is from RNAcentral.